This 219-nucleotide ribosomal RNA is filed under the name uncultured bacterium. RNAcentral's name for it is "partial 16S ribosomal RNA". It matches the Rfam family "Bacterial small subunit ribosomal RNA", at positions 68 to 305 of the family's 1533-position model. The record is from RNAcentral.
GGUAAGCUAACUUCGGUUAGCCUAGAGCGGCGGACGGGUGAGUAACGCGUGGGAACGUGCCCUUCUCUAAGGAAUAGCCACUGGAAACGGUGAGUAAUACCUUAUACGCCCUUCGGGGGAAAGAUUUAUCGGAGAAGGAUCGGCCCGCGUUAGAUUAGAUAGUUGGUGGGGUAAUGGCCUACCAAGUCUACGAUCUAUAGCUGGUUUUAGAGGAUGAUC